This is a long non-coding RNA of Magnolia sinica, 557 nucleotides long. RefSeq lists it as uncharacterized. The record is from RefSeq and is a predicted model, not a curated record. The transcript has 3 exons. Lineage: Eukaryota; Viridiplantae; Streptophyta; Magnoliopsida; Magnoliales; Magnoliaceae.
UACCUCUCCCGACGACUCUCUCUCUCUCUCUCUCUCUCUCUCUCUCUCUCUCUCUCUCUCUCUCUCUCUCUCUCUCUCCCGACUCUCAGCUUCUUCCUACCCCCGACUCUCUCUCUCUCGCGCGCGACUCUCAGCUUCUGCCUACCCCCGACUCUCUCUCUCUCUCUCUCUCUCUCUCUCUCUCUCUCGCGCGCGCGAGCUGCCAUUAAUUUCAGGGCUUAGAUGAAGAUCUGAAACAGUUUUCGAUCUGAAUUCUGUUGGAUUUUGUGACGGGUGGAGUGUUUUCUGCACUCGAUUAUGUAGUCGGAAUUUUCAGGGAAGAGUUAUCAGUUUGAAUUCUACUUGUUUUUUCAUUUGGGACUUUAUGCUUUGGAUUUUGCCAUGGAAGGUGGCAGUGAUCCAGAAGGGAGUCAGUUUCUGAGGUUUCUCUUUUCUCCAUUUUCAUUUUUUUUUUUUUUUCAUUUGAGAAUGUUGAAUUGUGUCAAUCUUUAUGGAAAGAACCGCAGUUUUAGAUUUUGAAGUUGUCAGUUAUUGGAAAGAUCCUUAACCACUCAACA